UACGAACUGUGCGAACGUUAUUCGGAAUUACUGGGCGUAAAGCGCGCGUAGGCGGCUUUGUAAGUCAGAGGUGAAAUCCCGGAGCUCAACUCCGGAACUGCCUUUGAGACUGCAUCGCUUGAAUCCGGGAGAGGUGAGUGGAAUUCCGAGUGUAGAGGUGAAAUUCGUAGAUAUUCGGAAGAACACCAGUGGCGAAGGCGGCUCACUGGCCCGAUACUGACGCUGAGGCACGAAAGCGUGGGGAGCAAACAGG
This 253-nucleotide ribosomal RNA is filed under the name uncultured bacterium. RNAcentral describes it as "partial 16S ribosomal RNA". It matches the Rfam family "Bacterial small subunit ribosomal RNA", at positions 524 to 776 of the family's 1533-position model. The record is from RNAcentral.